CAGGUAGGGAACAGACAUCAGUUUAGACACAUCAAUCAAACAAAUGCAAUCCUUAAUGAUGUAAAGAGUAGCAUCAUAGUACAGGCUAAAACAUGAACUAGCGUUAUAGUAAACAUGGAAAGACACAAAGUAGCAUAAUACAGAACAGGCUAAAACAAAAACUAGCAUUAUAGUAAACAGGCUAAAACAAGAACUAGCAUUAUAGUAAACAGGCUAAAAAGAAACUAGCAUUAUAGUAAACAGGCUAAAACAAAAACUAUCAUUAUAAGAAAACAGGCUAAACCCCAAUUUUGAUGAUUUCCUACGUUACACAGAUGCAGCAUGCGUUUUAAUUUCAUUAGGGUCUGCUUUAUUUUAUCUUCUUAAGUUCUAAACAUUUUCAGUAGACAAACUGAGCAAGUAAUGUUUAAAGAAAACAAGCUAAACCAUAAACUAGC
Molecule: long non-coding RNA, 437 nt
Organism: Ictalurus punctatus (channel catfish)
Lineage: Eukaryota; Metazoa; Chordata; Actinopteri; Siluriformes; Ictaluridae
Source: Ensembl